UGGGGUGUCGCCAAGUGGUAAGGCAGCGGUUUUUGGUACCGCCAUUCGGAGGUUCGAAUCCUUCCACCCCAA
This 72-nucleotide transfer RNA is filed under the name Candidatus Rhabdochlamydia porcellionis. RNAcentral describes it as "tRNA-Gln". It matches the Rfam family "tRNA". Rfam says of the family: Transfer RNA (tRNA) molecules are approximately 80 nucleotides in length. Lineage: Bacteria; Pseudomonadati; Chlamydiota; Chlamydiia; Parachlamydiales; Candidatus Rhabdochlamydiaceae. RNAcentral also lists the same sequence under 18 other names. The record is from RNAcentral.